CAAAGCAGGAAGCUCAUUCCCUGCUCCCGGAGGAGCGGUUUUGAGCAGGACAAUCCCUUUGGUCAGGCAUCAAACACCAGCAUGCGAGCCAUCUGCUUCUCUGACUGAAACACCCAACGAAAAGCUGCUGGAUUGAAAAAGGAUAUUAAUCUGAAAAGCGUACAACAAAGCGACUGCAGGGUGUUCCCCCCCCCCCCCCCCUCGAGCCAGAGCGAGCGAGGAAAGCUGAUUACCAUGACACACAGGAGCCCUGAUCUAAUAUUCCACUUCAAGAUUUGCAAAUAAUGUGCCCAUUAACAUUCAUUAGCUCUUUAAAUAAUACCUGCCAGACCUUCCAGGCAAGGAGGAAAGGCCCCUGCGCCCAGAAAUCAAUCACGCAACAGCCUCUAAUUGUGCCUUUUCCACAUUUACGCAAAGUUGCAAUAAAAACAGGGCCAGGGCAAUUGCAGAGCUGAAGCUGCCGCUGCUGCUCGUGUGCAGAGCUGCACAGAGAUGACCGUCCUGCUCCCGGCUGCAGGAUGAGGAUCUUUGCUAAUUAGUGGGCUUCUCCCCGCAGGGAUGUGUCACGCCAGCCUUCCACCACCCGAAAGAGCUCCUGUCCUCCAGCUCCUCGGGGCAGCCUGCUGAGAUGAGCGCGGUGGCGUGGCCCAGGAGAGGACACUUUCUCUGGAGCUCUGCGGAGCCCCAGAGCUGAUGCUGAUGCAGAAAAGUUUGAAGGGCCGUCCUGCUGCCCCAGGUGGAUAACACCUGAAAAGAGAUGGAAAACUGACGGCUUGAGGUCAAACUGUGAUACCACCUACGAACACCAUCGCUCUCAAUUUAUCACCCUAUGGCAUCACCUGGACCCUUUGCAUUCCCUCCAGAAGGGGCAGAGCCUCUGCUGAAGGCAAAUGGGGAGUAGUUGCAUCUAGAAAGUGAGACCAAUCCCCAAAUUCUGCCUUCUUCUGCUCUACUCACUGAGCUAUAGAGCGUUUCCUCAUCCUUCAGCUCUUCCUGCCUGAGGAUUUCUGCUGGCACCCACGGGAAGGUGAUCUGCUCCCAGCCCAAAGCUCUGCGAGUUGUUUGCACCCCAAAGAAAUGGGAAUUUUGGACUGGGCAUCCCUUGGGGGCAUGGGACAGAGCAGCCGAGGUUUGCCAUUGGAAGGAGACUUUCACAAAGGCCCCUAGGUGUUCCUAGGCAAGACAGGAGACACGCUCUAACCCUCGUGUGCAGCCGUCCGGAUCCCUGGGGUGAGCAGGGUCAGCCCCCGGCAGGUGCAGCAGCUUUCUGGGUUAGCCACCAUCGGCACACUGUCACCCCGCCAGCACUCCGUGAGCAAAGCUGGGCACUAUAACCUCAAAUUAGCUGUCGGAGCAAGCUCAUUCUGGAUUUGCCUGGUGCUUCAGUGCUUUAAAAAAGAGAUACAUGUACGAGACCAGAUGAGUAGGUCCCUUCGCAGAAGGCCACGAGCAAGCCUAGAGGCGUCAGAGGGUCUGUAGCACAUCUUCACGUUGCUUAGGAAAUGGCUCAGCGUUGUCCCAGAUGUUACAGUCAAAGCAAAAUUCCUGUCUGGGAAAAGCAAUGCCUUCCUUGUGUAGCAGGGAGACAGCUGAGCACUGUUACAGAUGCAUUGAAUCAGCCCAAAAUGAGUUUAACGGAGGAGUUAAUAGACAACCUAAUUAGUGACUUGUCUGUGGUCUAACUAGCCAGGUCAGGGAAGGGCACUGAAAGAAAAGUGAUGGAUUCUGCAAAGGGUCUGCACAUCCGCAGGAUUAACGAAAACUGUGCUGCCCAUAUGAGAAUGUUCUCGAUCAACAAGAGGAAUGGAGGAAUUUUUUCAAAGUGUGAAGAUAUUGCAAAGAAAUGCAAAAGCAAAAUGAGUUUGAGCGUACUUAAAGGGCAGUGAUCUGAUGAAGAUGAGAAAUGCAGAGUUAAUGUUCUCUCUUGGAUUUCUUCACAAAUUUACCGAGCAAGAUUUCCCCAGACUUCUUCACAUCCCUGGAAACAAGGAAAAGGGAAUUUCCAGCAGCAGAGUGAAGUGGAGGAUGUUAGCAUCAUGCCGUGAUGGGUAAAACAAACAGGGACCACCACUGGUGAUGCAGGAAAGGGAGAGCAGGGAGAGCAUCCUUCCCCACCCUGAGCUCGGCUCUGCUCCCGCUGCGCCCAGGUCCCCAGCUCAGUGCCCCGCAGCCGUUCCCUCCUCAGACCUGCUCUGCCUUACUCCUGAGAAUGCCCUCGGAGCCGUCCUGCUAUCUCUCACCAGCUCCUAUCUAAUUUAUCCCGCCAGCUACCAAAAACUUAUUUAAUCUAAAGCUCCUGUAAAAAGGAAAAAAAAAAAAAAAAACAACUGUUUUGUGCUACGUCCUCUCCAUCCCCUCAUCCGAUGCCUGUGUGAACAUGGAUAAAAUCACUAUUUAAUAGCGCUGGUCAAGCCCUGCUGCUUGUUCAGGAAACCUGCUGGCAGCGUGUUUGGAUCAGCUAUUAAAAGUUUGUAUGAAACUUGU
Molecule: long non-coding RNA, 2484 nt
Organism: Oxyura jamaicensis (ruddy duck)
Lineage: Eukaryota; Metazoa; Chordata; Aves; Anseriformes; Anatidae
Exons: 2
Source: RefSeq, a predicted model, not a curated record